This is a long non-coding RNA of Gallus gallus (chicken), 2231 nucleotides long. The record is from Ensembl. NCBI's taxonomy places the organism in Eukaryota, Metazoa, Chordata, Aves, Galliformes, Phasianidae.
GGGGGGUUGAGCUGCGGCGGUCCCGGUGCUCCCGCAGUGCCCCUCCCGAGCUGCCAGGCUGGAUUUUAUGGGAAUAUCGAUAGAAUUAAAGUUCCUUGUAAUUCCGUGAUAAAUGGGGUGUCUCUAGUAAGUAAGAUGAAGUGCGGUGCCGUGAAGUUGUUUAUCUGGAAAGUAAUUCUCAGAAACCUGACUUCUGACACUUGGUCAUAUAUUAAACCGGCGUCUUGAACGUUGUACUUCAGAUGCUCCUUUUCCCCCUUCCCCUCGCAGUUUGCUAUUUAUAAGACUUCGUAGGUGCGGGUGAGUUGCUGGGUAAUUUUUCACCAACUGUGAAAAGCAUCGUUUGCAACAGCCGAAGAAUUCUCUGCUUAGGAAACAGUACGGGGAGAGUGGGCUCACGAAUAGAUAACAUCUCCCGACCGUGCCAUUAUCGGCACAAACCCGUGCGGCUGCGCUGCUCCCGGCAGCCAAAAGGCAGGGAGGGCACGCUGCGAGGCGAGCAGGCUAACGACACCUAGAUGGGAUCGCAGAGGCGAUUCUGCAGACCUAAAGCAUGCUCCGACGGCACGAACAACAUGAGCGUGGUUCUGCACAGCCCCAAAGACACCCGGACAUCUGCCGGGUUUAUCUUAGAGACUGCAAUUAGUGACAAACCGAGUGCAACUCGGCUUGGCUUUCCUAUUCCUGCACACCAUCGGAACCAGCAAAAGUUCCCAGCUCACAGCAUAACCCCCCCCCCCCGCCCUCCAGGACGGCCCCAUUCCCCAGACUUGUUUUUCCCAUUGCAAGAUGAAUGUGGCACUGUAUGUCACUUAACGCGCUCACCUAUGAGAGGCACAAAAAGUGAAGGUUAUUGCUUUUUGGAACGCACACUCGCAGUGUUCCACUUGCACGUUUGAUGGAUGUCUGUGGAAACACAGCUCCGGCCCCAUCAAACUGUUUGGAUUCAGAGUGCUCCGCUUGCAAACCAGUAGAUUUCUGAGUAAACUUGAGACGAAGAGCACAAAUUUGGGUGAGCUAAGGGGGAGCCUCUUCCUUAGCACUGAUGUGGGUGAGUGCAUGCGGAGCUCUGACCUCCAGGGCAGCACUGGAGUUACUGUACAGCAUUGUUCUGGUGUGAUGAUUGCAGAGCUGCCGCCCCAAAACGGCACGGCGUAGCAGAGAGAAAGGAUUAUUAGCAAUUUUUUGGAUCACCUUCAGGAGCAGCAACGCUCUCCUCCCUCCCCUCCGCCAUUCUCACUGUAGUGCUAUUUUCCUUUAUUAUUUGGCUAUUCACGACGGCUGUCUAAACAUUUACAGUCCCCUAUUAACAGCGUUUCUCCCCAAACAAUCGCACGCUUUCAUUUCAAUUAGAGCCAUUCAGGCUCGGGUUUUGCCACCAGGCCACGUCCCAGCCCCGCUCCCUUUCCCAGCACGGACCCAGGCAGCGCACAGCCCACAUCCCCACACCUCCUGCUCACAUCCCCACACCUCCUGCCCUGCUCCAGGUUAGGAGCUCAGACCACGACGCGUUCUGCCCUGGGUGCGGAUCAAGAACAACACAUUAAGAACAGUUACCGCUCCCUUUGUUUGCCCGGUGUCUGAUUUUUAUGGUGCAGAACUAAAGAGUGCCCGCUGAAUUUGACUAUGGAAGCGGGCAAAUUGCUUUCCAAAAGGCUUCUUCGGAGCACAGUGAUAAGGCACAACCCGCUCCUAGGUGCAGCGCCAGAUAAAUCCUUUUAACAGUCCUCAGAUCAGUUAACAGGCAACUCGCAGACGCAAAUAGGAGCCGCGCUCCCUUUGAAGACACGUUCUUUAUAUAUUUUUAUUGGAGGUGUCUUUUUUAUUAAGUGGAGCACCAGCAUAUGUACCACGCAUCCCGAUUUGCUGGUGGUGCUGCGGUGUCGGAGCAGAGGGAACAGAAGCAGCGGCAAACAAACGCCAUCGAUUAAUAUCUGUUUUUGCAUCGGUGUUGCCGAAUCCAUCAUUUCCACUGCUUGCUUAUCGUGUUUCUGAAACACUCAGAAUAUCCCAAAUAAGCCCGUGUGAUCCAGAAGGAACUUCUCUCUCGGGCUGGAGGUUGGUGCCACCAGGUUUGUGCUGCACUCACCCUAUGAUGCAUGUCCCACUUUACUCGUCUCCAUGAAUGGUUCAGCCUGGAUGUGAAAAUCAAUACAGACGUCCCUGAUGCCAAAAACCUAUUUGUCUAAAAGAUAUAAAAAGUGAAAUUGCAAUAAAGAUUUUUAUCGGGC